Podarcis lilfordi (Lilford's wall lizard) is the source of this 76-nucleotide non-coding RNA. Lineage: Eukaryota; Metazoa; Chordata; Lepidosauria; Squamata; Lacertidae. The record is from the annotation of a GenBank genome assembly.
GCCCCUGUUGGCUUAGCUGGUUAGAGCAUGGUGCUGACGAUGCCAAGGUUGCAGGUUCGAUUCUUUGUAUGGGACA